Molecule: ribosomal RNA, 468 nt
Filed under: uncultured bacterium
Lineage: Bacteria
Description: partial 16S ribosomal RNA
Rfam family: Bacterial small subunit ribosomal RNA
Source: RNAcentral
GACGAACGCUGGCGGCGUGCUUAACACAUGCCAGUCGAACGGAAAGGCCCUGCUUUUGUGGGGUGCUCGAGUGGCGAACGGGUGAGUAACACGUGAGUAACCUGCCCUUGACUUUGGUAUAACUUCAGGAAACUGGUGCUAAUACCGGAUAGGAGCUCCUGCUGCAUGGUGGGGGUUGGAAAGUUUCGGCGGUUGGGGAUGGACUCGCGGCUUAUCAGCUUGUUGGUGGGGUAGUGGCUUACCAAGGCUUUGACGGGUAGCCGGCCUGAGAGGGUGACCGGCCACAUUGGGACUGAGAUACGGCCCAGACUCCUACGGGAGGCAGCAGUGGGGAAUAUUGCACAAUGGGCGGAAGCCUGAUGCAGCAACGCCGCGUGCGGGAUGACGGCCUUCGGGUUGUAAACCGCUUUCGCCUGUGACGAAGCGUGAGUGACGGUAAUGGGUAAAGAAGCACCGGCUAACUACGUG